This 500-nucleotide ribosomal RNA is filed under the name uncultured bacterium. RNAcentral's name for it is "partial 16S ribosomal RNA". It matches the Rfam family "Bacterial small subunit ribosomal RNA", at positions 30 to 523 of the family's 1533-position model. The record is from RNAcentral.
AUUGAACGCUGGCGGAAUGCCUUACACAUGCAAGUCGAACGGCGGCACGGACUUCGGUCUGGUGGCGAGUGGCGAACGGGUGAGUAAUGUAUCGGAACGUGCCCAGUCGUGGGGGAUAACGUAGUGAAAAUUACGCUAAUACCGCAUACGAUCUAUGGAUGAAAGCGGGGGAUCGCAAGACCUCGCGCGAUUGGAGCGGCCGAUAUCAGAUUAGGUAGUUGGUGGGGUAAAGGCCCACCAAGCCAACGAUCUGUAGCUGGUCUGAGAGGACGACCAGCCACACUGGAACUGAGACACGGUCCAGACUCCUACGGGAGGCAGCAGUGGGGAAUUUUGGACAAUGGGCGAAAGCCUGAUCCAGCCAUUCCGCGUGCAGGAUGAAGGCCCUCGGGUUGUAAACUGCUUUUGUACAGAACGAGAAGGUUUCUACUAAUACUAGGAGCUCAUGACGGUACUGUAAGAAUAAGCACCGGCUAACUACGUGCCAGCCGCCGCCGUAA